RNAcentral lists this non-coding RNA (135 nucleotides) under uncultured Fusobacterium sp. RNAcentral's name for it is "glmS glucosamine-6-phosphate activated ribozyme". It matches the Rfam family "glmS glucosamine-6-phosphate activated ribozyme aptamer", at positions 4 to 153 of the family's 167-position model. Rfam says of the family: This entry contains a glucosamine-6-phosphate activated ribozyme that is found in the mRNA for GlmS. The record is from RNAcentral. Lineage: Bacteria; Fusobacteriati; Fusobacteriota; Fusobacteriia; Fusobacteriales; Fusobacteriaceae.
AAAAGAAUAGCGCCAGAACUUAAAAUUUUAAGUUGACGAGGACUGAAGGCAAUCGAAAAUUCGGCGGGUACUUCAGAGGGGGUUGCACCCUAAGAAACUUUACAAAACCAGAAAGCAAUUUGUGGGACAAAAGAG